Colletes gigas is the source of this 436-nucleotide long non-coding RNA. RefSeq lists it as uncharacterized. NCBI's taxonomy places the organism in Eukaryota, Metazoa, Arthropoda, Insecta, Hymenoptera, Colletidae. The transcript is spliced from 4 exons. The record is from RefSeq and is a predicted model, not a curated record.
AUGCAUUAUAUUUGAAAUAUUUACAGAGAUUUCAAGAAAAUAGAAGUGUGAAACAAGUUAAAACCAUCUUUGAACCAAACUGAAGGAUUUAAAAAUUUAUAAAGAUUGCAAAAAUUGAGAUUCUAAAUUGCCAUCAUUUAUUAUGGCUUCCAUUAUUGCAUACAUAUGAAUAAAUGAGGCUAUCGCUUCUUCAGUGGGGACAGAAAGGCCCCCUCUUUCAACAGAAUGGGACCCAUAACCAGAAAUAUAAAUUUUAAUGGAAUCAUCUACAACACAAUCGGACAAGUAUUCGGUAUCGAAGAUUCCUGAGAAACAAGUCACAUCAGUGGGAAGAUCAUGAAGAUCGUUAUUAUUGUCAUCACAAAUUCGAAAUUUAUUUUUGAUUUCAGUACUAUCAUAAUUUCCCUUGCAAUUGGGAACACAGCAACGCCGUGGC